Molecule: ribosomal RNA, 253 nt
Filed under: uncultured bacterium
Lineage: Bacteria
Description: partial 16S ribosomal RNA
Rfam family: Bacterial small subunit ribosomal RNA
Source: RNAcentral
GACGUAGGGUGCAAGCGUUGUCCGGAUUUAUUGGGCGUAAAGAGCUCGUAGGCGGCUUGUUGCGUCGACUGUGAAAACCCGCGGCUUAACUGCGGGCUUGCAGUCGAUACGGGCAGGCUAGAGUUCGGUAGGGGAGACUGGAAUUCCUGGUGUAGCGGUGAAAUGCGCAGAUAUCUGGAGGAACACCGGUGGCGAAGGCGGCAUCCUGGACCGACACUGACACUGAGGAGCGAAAGCCAGGGGAGCAAACGGG